Long non-coding RNA from Oncorhynchus gorbuscha (pink salmon), 387 nucleotides. RefSeq lists it as uncharacterized. The transcript is spliced from 3 exons. The record is from RefSeq and is a predicted model, not a curated record. Lineage: Eukaryota; Metazoa; Chordata; Actinopteri; Salmoniformes; Salmonidae.
ACAGGGAACUAGAUAUCCUAUUCAUUAGGCCGCACCAGAUGGACAGAAUAGUUUAAUCUUCAUCCAGUUGUAAUUCCUCUAUCAGGAGAGUCCUUUGAUUGUGGUCUUGUGCAGUGAUGACCGCAGGACUAAUUUGCUAUGCGUUGCCUUGACACCUGGUAUGAAUCUGAACCCAGAUGAUUCAGCUGAGCUUGAAGUGGCAGCUGUAAGCGUCGAAGACGGUUCUGCUUAGUUGGAGGAAGGAAAGAGAGGAAGGCUCCACACCACUCUCUCACUUGAGUAUCUUAACCUAUGGCACGUUCUGAUCUUAGUUCCUUUGUUUUGUCUUUUGUUUUAGUAUGGUCAGGGCGUGAGUUGGGUGGGUUGUCUAUGUUAGUUUGUCUAUGA